Molecule: ribosomal RNA, 519 nt
Filed under: uncultured bacterium
Lineage: Bacteria
Description: partial 16S ribosomal RNA
Rfam family: Bacterial small subunit ribosomal RNA
Source: RNAcentral
GACGAACGCUGGCGGCGUGCCUAAUACAUGCAAGUCGAGCGAGUCUGCCAUGAAGAUCGGCGUGUUUGCUUUCUGUGAAACAAGAUACUGGCUAGUGGCUGACGGGUGUGUAACACGUGGGUAACUUGCCCAAGCGAUCGGGAUUACCCCUGGAUAUAGUUGAUAAUAUCGGAUAAUAAUAGAUGAUGCCUUUCAUCUGAUUUAUAGAUGGUUCUGCUCUCCCUUUUGGAUGGACCUGCGGUGCAUUAGCUAGUUGGUAGGGUAACGGCCUACCAAGGCGAUGAUGCAUAGCCGAGUUGAGAGAGUGAUCGGCCACAUUGGAACUGAGACACGGCCCAGACUCCUACGGGAGGCAGCAGUAGGGAAUCUUCCGCAAUGGACGAAAGUCUGAUGGAGCAACGCCGCGUGAGUGAAGAAGGGUUUCGGCUCGUAAAACUCUGUUAUUAGUGAAGAAGAACAGUGGAAGUAACUAACCUCGGUUUGACGGUAAUCAAUGAGAAAGCCACGGCUAACUACGUG